UACGGAGGAUGCGAGCGUUAUCCGGAUUUAUUGGGUUUAAAGGGUGCGUAGGCGGCGAGUUAAGUCAGCGGUAAAAGCCCGGGGCUCAACCCCGUACUGCCGUUGAAACUGCAUCCCUUGAGUGCGCGAGAAGUAUGCGGAAUGCGUGGUGUAGCGGUGAAAUGCGUAGAUAUUAGGAGGAACACCAGUGGCGAAGGCGGCUUACUGGACUGUAACUGACGUUGAGGCUCGAAGGCGUGGGGAGCAAACAGG
Molecule: ribosomal RNA, 252 nt
Filed under: uncultured bacterium
Lineage: Bacteria
Description: partial 16S ribosomal RNA
Rfam family: Bacterial small subunit ribosomal RNA
Source: RNAcentral